RNAcentral lists this long non-coding RNA (1504 nucleotides) under Numida meleagris (helmeted guineafowl). Its description in RNAcentral is "lncRNA (ENSNMEG00000011727.1)". The record is from RNAcentral. Lineage: Eukaryota; Metazoa; Chordata; Aves; Galliformes; Numididae.
CAACAGGUGCCGCAGGUGGUCUUUUGUAGAGAGAGGCUCCAAGCUCCUUUGGCUCUUUCUUUUUCAGCAGAAGGGAAAUGACUUUCUGCUAUUUCUGGGUGGUUCUACUGCAGCUGGUCUUAAUUUGCAAUAGUUCUUAAUCUAACCUGCAGCAACAUCCCUAUCUCUGGGUUGUUCUGCUCUUAUGUGUUCCCUGUGUACUUGCCUGUGGUCACAUAACUGUGUACAUCAGUAGACUCCACAAUUCAUGACAAGCAAUGGCCUUGUCACCAGUCCUUCCUCCUCUGCUCUGCUGUGACAUGUACCUCAGUGCUCUUCACCUUUGUUCCAGAAGUGAUUUUGAUGGGCAGGUGCAUAAAAAUUAAUGAGCAAGAAAGCGUUCACCUGGAGUUUGAUGUGAAAAGCACACUGGACUGCAAAAGCAGUGAUAGCUGGUUAAACUGUAAGUAUGACUGCACCAGCAUCUUGUAUUUAGAGAUGGUUUGGGGGUGGCUGUGGAAAAAGUAUAAGCAAUAAUAUGAGUGCUUUUCCUGACUGCCAAGUUCCUGACUGCCACUGUGGGGUGAAAGGCUAAUCAUCUGGAUGGGGAGCCAGGUGACUUCCUCUGAGAGGUAAAGAGAUGUUCUUCAGAGUGGUGUGUGAAGACCUGAAGUUCCUUCUCUUUGCCAUUGUAUACACUGCAACAGAAGCAUCUUCAUGUCAGACAUUGUAUUCAGGCUGGGAGAAAGAUAGCACAUCCAUAAAGCUUUUCUGUAGCUUGACCUUUGCCAGAUAAAGGUUGUCACCUUUUCCCUUCAAUCUCAAAGCUAGUUUCCUUCUGUGAAGUGCCAUACUCACACAGUUCCUUACAGAAACAAGGUAACUCACCACAGGAUCCAAGAUCCUGAUGAACCAGAACAUCACAAAAUGAUAGAGGACAUAUCGCGAUCCUGCAGAGUAUCAGAAAAACUAUUUCAGAUUUUGCAGUAAUUUUCCAGAUCUGAAAUUUGAAGCCCAUGGGACUGCUUAGUGAAUGGCAACUCUACUCCUUGCAAUUGCAAAUGAAUGUCACAAAGUAAGAAAUCUUCCUCCCCAUUUACAGGUAUGACCAGUCAUAAGUGAAUCUUCUACACCAAAUCAGUACAGCUCCUGCUUCCUCAUUUUUACUUUUCUUGACCUUCCAUUCUGAAGCAAAAUUGUCAGAGGAACAGUAGAUCCAAAGUGAAAUACCACAUGAACAAUUUAUAUUAAAUUUGAUGUUUCAGUACUGGGAUGUAAGUGGAGCCAGGUCACUGCCAAAGCACAGAAGGAUAUGAACAGAUCUGAGCUUAUUCUGCCCAAGGUAUGAGCUGAGUAGAUACCAGUCAGCAAGUCCAGAAACUAUGUGAACAUGGUAGCAUGUCUAAUCUGUUGUUAUUCCUGUCUAAGCCAAUGUGCCCUUGCUACCAAAAAUAUCCCUGCAUGCUAUUUUUCACAUUUUUCUGAAGCAUACAGAAACUAAGUUGUACGAUUGUACAUACUGUAG